GAGGAUUUAGCUCAGUGGUAGAGCACUUGCCUAGCAAGCGCAAGGCCCUGGGUUCAGUCCUCA
Molecule: non-coding RNA, 63 nt
Organism: Rattus norvegicus (Norway rat)
Lineage: Eukaryota; Metazoa; Chordata; Mammalia; Rodentia; Muridae
Source: Rfam